GAAAAAGCAAUGAGAGGAAUUAGUAACAGGAUACUCAUUCUAAAGAGAGCCGGUGGCUGGUGGAAACCGGUGUUUGAUACUUGUGAAUCCAUCCUCGAGCAAGGUACGGAACGCUUCUUUUUGAAGUUAGUAAGUACUUUCGGUAAAACCGUUAAAUUUUUUCAAGGUGGACAGAUUGUUCUGUCAACCAGGGUGGUAACGCGGGUAACUCUCGUCCCUGUU
This 222-nucleotide non-coding RNA is filed under the name Bacillus sp. (in: firmicutes). Its description in RNAcentral is "Bacillus sp. T-box sequence". It matches the Rfam family "T-box leader". From Rfam's summary of the family: Uncharged tRNA acts as the effector for transcription antitermination of genes in the T-box leader family. The record is from RNAcentral. RNAcentral also lists the same sequence under 1 other name. Lineage: Bacteria; Bacillati; Bacillota; Bacilli; Caryophanales; Bacillaceae.